RNAcentral lists this ribosomal RNA (503 nucleotides) under uncultured bacterium. Its description in RNAcentral is "partial 16S ribosomal RNA". It matches the Rfam family "Bacterial small subunit ribosomal RNA", at positions 30 to 523 of the family's 1533-position model. The record is from RNAcentral.
AUUGAACGCUGGCGGCAGGCUUAACACAUGCAAGUCGAGCGGGGUGAUGGUGCUUGCACUAUCACUUAGCGGCGGACGGGUGAGUAAUGCUUAGGAAUCUGCCUAUUAGUGGGGGACAACAUCUCGAAAGGGAUGCUAAUACCGCAUACGUCCUACGGGAGAAAGCAGGGGAUCACUUGUGACCUUGCGCUACUAGAUGAGCCUAAGUCGGAUUAGCUAGUUGGUGGGGCAAAGGCCUAACAAGGCGACGAUCUGUAGCGGGGCUGAGAGGAUGAUCCGCCACACUGGGACUGAGACACGGCCCAGACUCCUACGGGAGGCAGCAGUGGGGAAUAUUGGACAAUGGGGGGAACCCUGAUCCAGCCAUGCCGCGUGUGUGAAGAAGGCCUUAUGGUUGUAAAGCACUUUAAGCGAGGAGGAGGCUCUUUUGGUUAAUACCCAAGAUGAGUGGAGGUUACUCGCAGAAUAAGCACCGGCUAACUCUGUGCCAGCCGCCGCAGUAA